RNAcentral lists this small nuclear RNA (103 nucleotides) under Castor canadensis (American beaver). Lineage: Eukaryota; Metazoa; Chordata; Mammalia; Rodentia; Castoridae. The record is from RNAcentral.
AUGCUUCUUUAGCACAUAUAGUAAAAUUGGAACAAUACAGAAAAGAUUAGCAUAAAUCACACACAAGGAAAACAUGCAAAUUUGUGAAAUGUUCCACAUUUUU